GUUCAAACGCUAUGGAAUUCAGAAGAUCAGGACUCCGAGGAAGCAGUGGUGGGGCCAUACAAACUGGAUGUGUCGUCUUUUAAAACUCUGCAUGGGACAGAGUGGCUUUCUGAUGAGGUCAUUGAUGCAUACAUAUGGCAUGUAAUUGCACAUUAUCGACUACCGGUUCACCAGAUGUGCGCCUGUGCUGCUACGUCCUUAUUUAUCGGUGAAAUUUCAAGACUUG
This is a long non-coding RNA of Rana temporaria (common frog), 226 nucleotides long. RefSeq lists it as uncharacterized. Lineage: Eukaryota; Metazoa; Chordata; Amphibia; Anura; Ranidae. The transcript is spliced from 3 exons. The record is from RefSeq and is a predicted model, not a curated record.